RNAcentral lists this RNase P RNA (337 nucleotides) under Chloroflexota bacterium. RNAcentral describes it as "RNase P RNA component class A". It matches the Rfam family "Bacterial RNase P class A". Rfam says of the family: Ribonuclease P (RNase P) is a ubiquitous endoribonuclease, found in archaea, bacteria and eukarya as well as chloroplasts and mitochondria. Its best characterised activity is the generation of mature 5'-ends of tRNAs by cleaving the 5'-leader elements of precursor-tRNAs. Cellular RNase Ps are ribonucleoproteins. Lineage: Bacteria; Bacillati; Chloroflexota. The record is from RNAcentral.
CAAGGUAGACGAGCAGUCGCUUUUUAAAAGAGGAAAGUCUGAGCACCAUCGGAUUAGGAUGCCGGCUAACUGCCGGGCAAGGUAACUUGACGGAAAGUGCAACAGAAAGUAAACCGCCAUUUGGUAAGGGUGAAACGGUGAGGUAAGAGCUCACCUCAAUUAAGGAAACUUAAUUGGAUUGGCAAACCCCAUUCGGUGCAAGGUUAAAUAGAGGAGCUUAUGCGAAUCCGACAAGCUUCUGGGUAAACCGCUUGAUUUAUUUGGUAACAAAUAAACUAGAUAAAUGGCUGCUGCCUUAUUAAAGGUACAGAACUCAGCUUAUAGUUUACCUUGAUCA